RNAcentral lists this long non-coding RNA (212 nucleotides) under Gallus gallus (chicken). The record is from RNAcentral. Lineage: Eukaryota; Metazoa; Chordata; Aves; Galliformes; Phasianidae.
CUGCACAUUUGACAUCUUCCUGUACAGCAUCCACACCACAGUUUCUUAAAGAGUUGAGAUGAUCUUGCACUUUAACACAUAUUCUGUCAAUCAUCUGCUGAGUAGUGCUAGUAACAAUGCCUUGCUGCAACCGGUAUGCUUGCUCCUGUAGGUACUUUCUGGUCUCAUGAUUACGAAGCAAGUAGUUUUCUAUCUUUUGCAGUGCCUCUUCU